This 462-nucleotide ribosomal RNA is filed under the name uncultured bacterium. RNAcentral's name for it is "partial 16S ribosomal RNA". It matches the Rfam family "Bacterial small subunit ribosomal RNA", at positions 28 to 507 of the family's 1533-position model. The record is from RNAcentral.
GACGAACGCUGGCGGCGUGCUUAACACAUGCAAGUCGAGCGACGCUCUUCCUUCGGGGAGAUGACGGAGCGGCGAACGGGUGAGUAACACGUGGGCAACCUGCCCCUAGCUCUGGGACAACACCGGGAAACCGGUGCUAAUACCGGAUACGACAUCGAGCGGCAUCUCUCGAUGUGGAAAGUUUUUUCGGCUAGGGAUGGGCCCGCGGCCUAUCAGCUUGUUGGUGGGGUAAUGGCCCACCAAGGCGACGACGGGUAGCCGGCCUGAGAGGGCGACCGGCCACACUGGGACUGAGACACGGCCCAGACUCCUACGGGAGGCAGCAGUGGGGAAUAUUGCGCAAUGGGCGAAAGCCUGACGCAGCGACGCCGCGUGAGGGAUGACGGCCUUCGGGUUGUGAACCUCUUUCAGCAGGGACGAAUUCAGACGGUACCUGCAGAAGAAGCACCGGCCAACUACGUG